Molecule: ribosomal RNA, 299 nt
Filed under: fungal sp.
Lineage: Eukaryota; Fungi
Description: partial 18S ribosomal RNA
Rfam family: Eukaryotic small subunit ribosomal RNA
Source: RNAcentral
UUGGAGGGCAAGUCUGGUGCCAGCAGCCGCGGUAAUUCCAGCUCCAAUAGCGUAUAUUAAAGUUGUUGCCGUUAAAAAGCUCGUAGUUGAACCUUGGGCCUGGCUGACCUGUCCUCCUAAUCGAGCGCACGGGUUCGGUCGGGCCUUUCCUUCUGGGGAUCCCGAUGCCCUUCACUGGGCGUCGUGGGGAACCAGGACUUUUACCUUGAAAAAAUUAGAGUGUUCAAAGCAGGCCUUUGCUCGAAUACAUUAGCAUGGAAUAAUAGGAUAGGACAGAGGUUCUAUUUUGUUGGUUUCUA